AGCAGCCGCGGUAAUUCCAGCUCCAAUAGCGUAUAUUAAAGUUGUUGCAGUUAAAAAGCUCGUAGUUGAAUUUCGGGAUUAGUGCGCCGGUCGUGCCUUCGGUAUGUACUGGUGUUACUGGUUCCUACCUUCUGACGAACCGUCAUGUCAUUAAUUUGGUGUGGCGGGGAAUCAGGACUGUUACUUUGAAAAAAAUUAGAGUGUUUAAAGCAGGCUCGCGCUUGAAUACAUUAGCAUGGAAUAAUGAAAUAGGACGUUCGAUCCUAUUUUGUUGGUUUCUAGGAUUGACGUAAUGAUUAAUAGGGAUAGUUGGGGGCAUUAGUAUUCAAUUGUCAGAGGUGAAAUUCUUGGAUUUAUUGAAGACUAACUACUGCGAAAGCAUUUGCCAAGGAUGUUUUCAUUAAUCAAGAACGAAAGUUAGGGGAUCGAAGACGAUCAGAUACCGUCGUA
This 450-nucleotide ribosomal RNA is filed under the name uncultured Glomeromycotina. RNAcentral's name for it is "SSU rRNA". It matches the Rfam family "Eukaryotic small subunit ribosomal RNA", at positions 569 to 1022 of the family's 1831-position model. The record is from RNAcentral. Lineage: Eukaryota; Fungi; Glomeromycota.